GGUGCGGUGGUCGAGUGGUAACACUCUGGUCUACCAAACCAGAGGUCCCCGGUUCAAAUCCCGGCCGGGGCA
This 72-nucleotide transfer RNA is filed under the name Dreissena polymorpha. It matches the Rfam family "tRNA". Rfam says of the family: Transfer RNA (tRNA) molecules are approximately 80 nucleotides in length. Their secondary structure includes four short double-helical elements and three loops (D, anti-codon, and T loops). The record is from Rfam by way of RNAcentral. Lineage: Eukaryota; Metazoa; Mollusca; Bivalvia; Myida; Dreissenidae.